Molecule: ribosomal RNA, 467 nt
Filed under: uncultured bacterium
Lineage: Bacteria
Description: bacterial SSU rRNA
Rfam family: Bacterial small subunit ribosomal RNA
Source: RNAcentral
CUCCAGACUCCUACGGGAGGCAGCAGUGAGGAAUAUUGGUCAAUGGGCUUACGCCUGAACCAGCCAAGUCGCGUGAGGGAAGACUGCCCUAUGGGUUGUAAACCUCUUUUGUCAGGGAGCAAUUGGCGCUACGUGUAGCGUUAUCGAGAGUACCUGAAGAAAAAGCAUCGGCUAACUCCGUGCCAGCAGCCGCGGUAAUACGGAGGAUGCGAGCGUUAUCCGGAUUUAUUGGGUUUAAAGGGUGCGUAGGCGGAAUGCCAAGUCAGCGGUAAAAUCGCGGGGCUCAACCUCGCUCCGCCGUUGAAACUGGCGUUCUUGAGUGGGCGAGAAGUAUGCGGAAUGCGUGGUGUAGCGGUGAAAUGCUUAGAUAUCAUGAAGAACUCCGAUCGCGAAGGCAAGUGUCCGGGGUGCAACUGACGCUGAGGCUCGAAAGUGCGGGUAUCAAACAGGAUUAGAUACCCCGGUAC